UACAGAGGGUGCUAGCGUUGUUCGGAAUCAUUGGGCGUAAAGGGCUCGUAGGCGGCCAACUAAGUCAGACGUGAAAUCCCUCGGCUUAACCGGGGAACUGCGUCUGAUACUGGAUGGCUUGAGAUUGGGAGAGGGAUGCGGAAUUCCAGGUGUAGCGGUGAAAUGCGUAGAUAUCUGGAGGAACACCGGUGGCGAAGGCGACAUCCUGGACCAACACUGACGCUGAGGAGCGAAAGCCAGGGGAGCAAACGGG
RNAcentral lists this ribosomal RNA (253 nucleotides) under uncultured bacterium. RNAcentral's name for it is "partial 16S ribosomal RNA". It matches the Rfam family "Bacterial small subunit ribosomal RNA", at positions 524 to 776 of the family's 1533-position model. The record is from RNAcentral.